GAAUUCUGUAAAAGUACACUGUUGCUGUACUGUUUAGUAAAUGUCUCAGCAAAAUGCGGAACUUAUCAGCAGCUUCUCACACUGGGUCUGAAAUGACUAGCUUAAAACUAAUAUGGCACUUCAACCCAUUCUCAGAUCCCACACUUAGGCACUGUGUCACUGAGUUCUUCAGUCCAAAGGAGGCCUGCUAAGUUUAAAAAAUCAAGAGUCCUAAUAUACAAGGUUUCAAAUCAUGUUUGGCUUAUAUUUAUAGGGAAAGCCCUGCACCCAAAACUGACUGUCUUUACACUUCACAAAAAGUGUUCAAGUAAAAACUUCCAAACUUGGUAAAAGAUCACUCUUCAUAACUAAAGACAGUUCAUGUGCUAUGACCUCCCGAUCUGCACAUGGCACAAUC
This 397-nucleotide long non-coding RNA is filed under the name Bos taurus (domestic cattle). RNAcentral's name for it is "long non-coding RNA NONBTAT006658". The record is from RNAcentral. Lineage: Eukaryota; Metazoa; Chordata; Mammalia; Artiodactyla; Bovidae.